CUGCAGCCAAUUUAUCCAUCUAAACUCUGCUCCUUUCAGGAACCAGCUGUGAGAUGGCUGCAAACAGCAGCCUCCUGGGCAGUGCAUUAGGCUGCCCUAAGAAGCCCUGGAGAUAGCC
Small nucleolar RNA from Cavia porcellus (domestic guinea pig), 118 nucleotides. Its record names the gene SNORA70. It matches the Rfam family "Small nucleolar RNA SNORA70". From Rfam's summary of the family: snoRNA U70 seems to be exclusive to mammals and is a member of the H/ACA class of snoRNA which contain H (ANANNA) and ACA box motifs. The record is from Ensembl. NCBI's taxonomy places the organism in Eukaryota, Metazoa, Chordata, Mammalia, Rodentia, Caviidae.